GGCGGGGAGCCCCCUAGGGGCGAGCCGCCGGGGACCACUGAACUUCAUGCCUGAAAGUGAUGCAGUCUGAGCCUGAAUACAAAUCAGUCAAAACUUUCAACAAUGGAUCUCUUGGUUCCGGCAUCGAUGAAGAACGCAACGAACUGCGAUAAGUAAUGUGAAUUGCGCAAUUCAGUGAAUCGUCCAGUCUUUGAACGCACAUUGCGCCCCCUGGCAUUCCGGGGGGCAUGCCUGUCCGACCGUCAUUGCUGCCCUCAUGCCCGGCUUGUGAGAUCCAUCGUCGACACCUUUGACUGAUUUGUAUUCAGGCUCACACUGCAUCACUCUCAGGCAUGAAGUUCAGUGGGUCCUCGGCGACCCGCUCGAUUAGGGCCGGCCGGCGCCACCGGCGUCUCCAACUUUAUUUUUCUCGGUUGACCUCCGAUCAGGAAAGAAUACCCGCUGAACUUAACUAUCAAUAAGCGAAGGA
RNAcentral lists this ribosomal RNA (469 nucleotides) under Aspergillus latus. RNAcentral describes it as "eukaryotic LSU rRNA". The stretch from base 92 to 245 matches the Rfam family "5.8S ribosomal RNA". The record is from RNAcentral. Lineage: Eukaryota; Fungi; Ascomycota; Eurotiomycetes; Eurotiales; Aspergillaceae.